AGAGUUUGAUCCUGGCUCAGAACGAACGCUGGCGGCAGGCUUAACACAUGCAAGUCGAGCGGGCUCCUUCGGGGGUCAGCGGCGGACGGGUUAGUAACGCGUGGGAACGUGCCUUUUGCUUCGGAAUAGCCCUGGGAAACUGGGGGUAAUACCGGAUGUGCCCUGAGGGGGAAAGAUUUAUCGGCAAGAGAUCGGCCCGCGUCUGAUUAGGUAGUUGGUGGGGUAACGGCCCACCAAGCCGACGAUCGGUAGCUGGUUUGAGAGGAUGAUCAGCAACACUGGGACUGAGACACGGCCCAGACUCCUACGGGAGGCAGCAGUGGGGAAUCUUAGACAAUGGGCGCAAGCCUGAUCCAGCCAUGCCGCGUGAGUGAUGAAGGCCCUAGGGUUGUAAAGCUCUUUCGGCGGGGACGAUAAUGACGGUACCCGCAGAAGAAGCCCCGGCUAACUUCGUGCCAGCAGCCGCGGUAAUACGAAGGGGGCUAGCGUUGCUCGGAAUCACUGGGCGUAAAGGGCGCGUAGGCGGAUCUUUAAGUCGGGGGUGAAAGCCCAGGGCUCAACCCUGGAAUUGCCUUCGAUACUGAGGAUCUCGAGACCGGAAGAGGUUAGUGGAACUGCGAGUGUAGAGGUGAAAUUCGUAGAUAUUCGCAAGAACACCAGUGGCGAAGGCGGCUAACUGGUCCGGUUCUGACGCUGAGGCGCGAAAGCGUGGGGAGCAAACAGGAUUAGAUACCCCCGUAGUCC
This 744-nucleotide ribosomal RNA is filed under the name uncultured Hyphomicrobiales bacterium. RNAcentral's name for it is "bacterial SSU rRNA". It matches the Rfam family "Bacterial small subunit ribosomal RNA", at positions 8 to 796 of the family's 1533-position model. Lineage: Bacteria; Pseudomonadati; Pseudomonadota; Alphaproteobacteria; Hyphomicrobiales. The record is from RNAcentral.